UUCAACUUCCUUAGGGUAUUUGAGUAAAAGACAGCUUUUUCAUAGGGGAAGUAAUUUACAUGCACCUUCUCCAGGGCUAUUUAAUUUCUCCAAGGAAAAAUGGAUUCUCUAAUUUUCUUUUUGGGUGAACUUAAGCCUAAGUACUGGUCAGGAAAAGGGUCAGAAGGGCUAUUUGGUAUGUAAGUGUUCACAUAACCAGCCCAGCCUGUUCUUAGUUCAGCACUUCACCCAUUUCCCUAUCUUCCUUUGUGCUUGG
Molecule: long non-coding RNA, 256 nt
Filed under: Homo sapiens (human)
Lineage: Eukaryota; Metazoa; Chordata; Mammalia; Primates; Hominidae
Description: non-protein coding lnc-KAT6B-4:1
Source: RNAcentral